Molecule: ribosomal RNA, 308 nt
Filed under: uncultured bacterium
Lineage: Bacteria
Description: bacterial SSU rRNA
Rfam family: Bacterial small subunit ribosomal RNA
Source: RNAcentral
AUUGAACGCUGGCGGUAUGCCUAACACAUGCAAGUCGAACGGUAGCAUUGGAGCUUGCUUCAGAUGACGAGUGGCGGACGGGUGAGUAACGCGUGGGAAUCUACCCAGUAGUUGGGGAUAGCCCGGAGAAAUCCGGAUUAAUACCGAAUAAGGUCUACGGACGAAAAGGUGCCUCUUCUUGAAAGCACUUGCUAUUGGAUGAGCCCGCGUUAGAUUAGUUUGUUGGUGGGGUAACGGCCUACCAAGACUACGAUCUAUAGCUGGUUUGAGAGGAUGAUCAGCCACAUUGGGACUGAGACACGGCCCAG